Molecule: ribosomal RNA, 716 nt
Filed under: Rhodococcus sp. EGU634
Lineage: Bacteria; Bacillati; Actinomycetota; Actinomycetes; Mycobacteriales; Nocardiaceae
Description: bacterial SSU rRNA
Rfam family: Bacterial small subunit ribosomal RNA
Source: RNAcentral
GAACAGGAUUAGAUACCCCGGUAGUCCACACUCAUAAACGGAUGGCGCUAGGUGUGGUUUCCUUCCACGGGAUCCGUGCCGUAGCCAACGCAUAAAGCGCCCCGCCUGGGGGAGUACGGCCGCAAGGCUAAAACUCAAAAGGAAUUGACGUGGGCCCGCACAAGCGGCGGAGCAUGUGGAUUAAUUCGAUGCAACGCGAAGAACCUUACCUGGGUUUGACAUGUACCGGACGACCGCAGAGAUGUGGUUUCCCUUGUGGCCGGUAGACAGGUGGUGCAUGGCUGUCGUCAGCUCGUGUCGUGAGAUGUUGGGUUAAGUCCCGCAACGAGCGCAACCCUUGUCCUGUGUUGCCAGCACGUGAUGGUGGGGACUCGCAGGAGACUGCCGGGGUCAACUCGGAGGAAGGUGGGGACGACGUCAAGUCAUCAUGCCCCUUAUGUCCAGGGCUUCACACAUGCUACAAUGGUCGGUACAGAGGGCUGCGAUACCGUGAGGUGGAGCGAAUCCCUUAAAGCCGGUCUCAGUUCGGAUCGGGGUCUGCAACUCGACCCCGUGAAGUCGGAGUCGCUAGUAAUCGCAGAUCAGCAACGCUGCGGUGAAUACGUUCCCGGGCCUUGUACACACCGCCCGUCACGUCAUGAAAGUCGGUAACACCCGAAGCCGGUGCGCCUAACCCUUCUGUGGGACGGAGCCGUCGAAUGAUGAUCCCGGUUCCC